GAUGAACGCUGGCGGCGUGCCUAAUACAUGCAAGUAGAACGCUGAAGGAAGGAGCUUGCUCUUUCCGGAUGAGUUGCGAACGGGUGAGUAACGCGUAGGUAACCUGCCUGGUAGCGGGGGAUAACUAUUGGAAACGAUAGCUAAUACCGCAUAACAGUAGAUGUUGCAUGACAACUAUUUGAAAGGGGCAAUUGCUCCACUACCAGAUGGACCUGCGUUGUAUUAGCUAGUUGGUGAGGUAACGGCUCACCAAGGCGACGAUACAUAGCCGACCUGAGAGGGUGAUCGGCCACACUGGGACUGAGACACGGCCCAGACUCCUACGGGAGGCAGCAGUAGGGAAUCUUCGGCAAUGGACAGAAGUCUGACCGAGCAACGCCGCGUGAGUGAAGAAGGUUUUCGGAUCGUAAAGCUCUGUUGUAAGAGAAGAACGAGUGUGAGAGUGGAAAGUUCACACUGUGACGGUAUCUUACCAGAAAGGGACGGCUAACUACGUG
This 497-nucleotide ribosomal RNA is filed under the name uncultured bacterium. RNAcentral's name for it is "partial 16S ribosomal RNA". It matches the Rfam family "Bacterial small subunit ribosomal RNA", at positions 28 to 507 of the family's 1533-position model. The record is from RNAcentral.